RNAcentral lists this non-coding RNA (161 nucleotides) under human gut metagenome. Its description in RNAcentral is "Lysine riboswitch". It matches the Rfam family "Lysine riboswitch aptamer". From Rfam's summary of the family: Riboswitches are metabolite binding domains within certain messenger RNAs that serve as precision sensors for their corresponding targets. Allosteric rearrangement of mRNA structure is mediated by ligand binding, and this results in modulation of gene expression. The record is from RNAcentral.
AUGGUAGAGGCGCGGGACGCAUCAGUACCUCUCUCCCAGGGCUCCAGGCAGCCGGCGAGAGGGAAAGGGCCACCGCCGAAGUGGGAACGCCGCCUGAAGGGCUGACCUGCUGGGACGCCGGAGAAGAUCCGUCGGACUGUCACGUAUGUGGAGCGCUAUCA